This 126-nucleotide small RNA is filed under the name Marmota monax (woodchuck). The record is from RNAcentral. Lineage: Eukaryota; Metazoa; Chordata; Mammalia; Rodentia; Sciuridae.
GUUAGGCAUGGUGGUACCUGCCUGUAAUCUCUGUCACUCAGGAAGCUGAGGCAGGAGGAUCACAAGUUUGAGGCCAGCUUCAGCAAAUUACCAAGGCCCUAAACAACUUGUGAGAACUUGUCUCAA